CAGCAGCAGCGGUUACACGUAAUUAUUUUCUAAUUUAAUCUGAAUAAACUAAUUUUAUUAUAUUUUAAUACGAAAUGAAAUUCUAAAAAUAAUAAUAAAUAAAUUAUUCCCAAAUAUAGCCAAAAACCAGGAUUAGAUACCCUGCUAUUCUAUUCCAAUAUAAUAUUUCAAUAUAAAACCAAAUAAAUUUGACGGAAUUAACUUUUACAAAGGAUUUUGUUUUGAUCAUCGAAAAUACACGAUUUACCUCACUUAAAACCUAUUUGUAUACCACCGUAAAAGAAAUUCUCUAAUAUAAAUUUCAAAAUAAAAACUUUUAAAAAAUCAGGUCAAGGUGCAAUAUUUUUAAGUCAAAAUGAAAUACAUUAAUAUAUUAUUCAAAUAAUUCACCUGAAUAUAAAGAAAAAUCAGAAUUUGUUAGUAAAUUAAAAUCAUUA
This 437-nucleotide ribosomal RNA is filed under the name Epiperipatus sp. SAS067. Its description in RNAcentral is "partial small subunit ribosomal RNA". The record is from RNAcentral. Lineage: Eukaryota; Metazoa; Onychophora; Udeonychophora; Euonychophora; Peripatidae.